RNAcentral lists this ribosomal RNA (535 nucleotides) under Penaeus pulchricaudatus. Its description in RNAcentral is "partial large subunit ribosomal RNA". It matches the Rfam family "Bacterial large subunit ribosomal RNA", at positions 1809 to 2606 of the family's 2925-position model. Lineage: Eukaryota; Metazoa; Arthropoda; Malacostraca; Decapoda; Penaeidae. The record is from RNAcentral.
AAAAACAUGUCUAUAUGAUUGUUAUAUAAAGUCUAGCCUGCCCACUGAUUUGUUUUAAAGGGCCGCGGUAUAUUGACCGUGCGAAGGUAGCAUAAUCAUUAGUCUUUUAAUUGGAGGCUUGUAUGAAUGGUUGGACAAAAAGUAAGCUGUCUCGGUUAUAAUAAUUGAACUUAACUUUUAAGUGAAAAGGCUUAAAUGUUUCAGGGGGACGAUAAGACCCUAUAAAGCUUGACAAUAAUUUCGUUAUAUUAUAAAUUGUUAGUAUAACUUGAUUUUAACGGGAGUUUGUUUCGUUGGGGCGACGGGAAUAUAAUAAAUAACUGUUCUUUUAAAUAUAAUUACAAAAAUACUUGGUAAAUAAUUGAUCCUCUAUUAGAGAUUAAAAGAUUAAGUUACUUUAGGGAUAACAGCGUAAUCUUCUUUGAGAGUCCACAUCGACAAGAAGGUUUGCGACCUCGAUGUUGAAUUAAGGUAUCCUUAUAAUGCAGCAGUUAUAAAGGAGGGUCUGUUCGACCUUUAAAUCCUUACAUGAUCU